This is a long non-coding RNA of Clarias gariepinus (North African catfish), 173 nucleotides long. RefSeq lists it as uncharacterized. The transcript has 3 exons. The record is from RefSeq and is a predicted model, not a curated record. NCBI's taxonomy places the organism in Eukaryota, Metazoa, Chordata, Actinopteri, Siluriformes, Clariidae.
AGGUGGGAUAACAACAGAACAACCUUCUACAUGGCCUGCUACAACAGUUCCAUCAGCAACACAAGGACCAUUUUUUCCUGUUGGACCUGGAGCAACAGCUGGUCCCUAUAGUGAUGGACAAUACGCAACAAUUCAGUUGGCACACCCAUUUAAUUAUGGUGGAAACACAUACU